UUAGUGGCAUUAGUUCAUGUUUUGACAACGUUUUAAGGGUGAACUGGGAUAUAUAGGAUUGCUAGGAUGACCUUAUCCUACAGUAACUCUAAUAAUUUUGUGGCUUUCAAUAGAUCAGAGCAUCCAAGAAACAGUGUAGUAGACACAUAUAGUUCUUUCUAUUGUUACA
This is a long non-coding RNA of Ipomoea nil (Japanese morning glory), 169 nucleotides long. RefSeq lists it as uncharacterized. NCBI's taxonomy places the organism in Eukaryota, Viridiplantae, Streptophyta, Magnoliopsida, Solanales, Convolvulaceae. The record is from RefSeq and is a predicted model, not a curated record. The transcript is spliced from 2 exons.